UGAACUAUGCGCUGAGACCGGGCACAGGGAGUUUCCGUGACGCAGUUUCGAGCAUCGCUGAAAAAAGAAAGUUCGAAUACAUAUAUAUAUUUUACAAUACUUAUAGUGUCUCCCAAGAUUUUUUCACCGACGGCGAUCAUCAUUUCGUUUUCGCAGCAUUCCGCGGCGUUAUGUCCAGGUUCUGAAAGGUUGCCGCCGCAUACACGUUGAAGGCGCUUCGGUGUGGAACGAUUGAGACGGGAGGUCUUUAAAAAUGGCGUCCGUGCAAGAUGCGGUUGAUAAAGAAGCUCCGCCUUCACGCAAAAAAAAAGAGAGAGAGAAAAAGAAAGAAAGAAACCGAAAGAGAAGCGUCGACGUCGGUGUGGCGCUGUAAGCGCAAGAAUGCGUGUGUUGUACACGUGGUACAUAGCCUCUCUCCGGCGAUGCACUGCGUCCUUCGCCGAGAGUGGCUUCGUUCGACGUCACUUCAACGAAAGCAAAAGAAAAAAAAAAUGCGGAGCCUGCGGUGACCGUUGCUCGGAGUGCGCGGCCACACCCAACAAAUUUCCAUAGUUUGGGGCAUUGUUGUGCCGCGAAAAUUUAUAGGCGCUAAUUUGAGAGCGAUGAAAAAAAAAAGAGAAGUGUUAGUUCUGUUAGAGAACUCCCUUUUUUUUUUGUUCUGUUCACCCGAUAUUCUCGUCCUCCAAUUUGCGCUAGAAACUUUCCACGCCAUCACGCCACGUGGUGGUGACGGUGGUGGCGGCACGGGAUCACGUGGCCACCCGCGGAGACGCGCCUCGAUCGGAAGAAAGUAAUGUACUGGAAACUCUACGAAGCAGAAUCUUGACCUGGAAUGCCGUACGAACAUACCCUAAAAUAGUCAAACGCCUUUAUAUGAGGUACUGGGGACCUACGUAAUCCUUCUCUCUACAUGUCGCUUAGUUGUAAAGGCCGCGCGCCGUACCACUCACACUGGAGCCGGGUAAGCCGGUUCACCAAGAGAAAGCCUUUAUUUAACGGAGUUCAAGAGAUACUUAGUAAACAAGCCGUGUUUUUCUUUU
Long non-coding RNA from Dermacentor andersoni, 1040 nucleotides. RefSeq lists it as uncharacterized. The record is from RefSeq and is a predicted model, not a curated record. Lineage: Eukaryota; Metazoa; Arthropoda; Arachnida; Ixodida; Ixodidae.